GGGUUGUGAGGUUAAGCGACUAAGCGUACACGGUGGAUGCCCUGGCAGUCAGAGGCGAUGAAGGACGUGCUAAUCUGCGAAAAGCGUCGGUAAGGUGAUAUGAACCGUUAUAACCGGCGAUGUCCGAAUGGGGAAACCCAGUGUGAUUCGUCACACUAUCGUUAACUGAAUACAUAGGUUAACGAGGCGAACCGGGGG
RNAcentral lists this ribosomal RNA (198 nucleotides) under Klebsiella pneumoniae. RNAcentral describes it as "partial 23S ribosomal RNA". It matches the Rfam family "Bacterial large subunit ribosomal RNA", at positions 1 to 190 of the family's 2925-position model. The record is from RNAcentral. Lineage: Bacteria; Pseudomonadati; Pseudomonadota; Gammaproteobacteria; Enterobacterales; Enterobacteriaceae.